UACUUGACUAGCUGAGAGGAGGUGCAUGGCCGUCGUCAGUCGUACUGUGAAGCAUCCUGUUAAGUCAGGCAACGAGCGAGACCCACGCCAACAGUUGCCAGCUCGUCCUCCGGGAUGGUGGGGACACUGUUGGGACCGCCUCUGCGUAAAGAGGAGGAAGGAAUGGGCAACGGUAGGUCAGCAUGCCCCGAAUUAUCCGGGCUACACGCGGGCUACAAUGGUCAGGACAAUGGGCAUCAACACCGAAAGGUGAAGGCAAUCUCUUAAACCUGUCCUUAGUUCGGAUUGUGGGCUGCAACUCGCCCACAUGAAGCUGGAAUCUGUAGUAAUCGCGUCUCAAAAUGGCGCGGUGAAUAUGUCCCUGCUCCUU
RNAcentral lists this ribosomal RNA (370 nucleotides) under uncultured Methanolinea sp. RNAcentral describes it as "bacterial SSU rRNA". It matches the Rfam family "Archaeal small subunit ribosomal RNA", at positions 969 to 1338 of the family's 1478-position model. Lineage: Archaea; Methanobacteriati; Methanobacteriota; Methanomicrobia; Methanomicrobiales; Methanoregulaceae. The record is from RNAcentral.